ACACUGGGUGCUGUCUAUAGCCUGAGCUGAGCGAUGAAAGGUUCGGGAUGUAUUCCAGCUAUAUUAACAGGCAGCUUGUUGGUUUGCUUACAGAAUUCUGAGCUCAGACCUAAAUUCUUUUGACUUGUGAUUCAGAAGCAGUAAGGAUUGUGUGUGAAUAAUGAAGUGGAAAAGCCAAGAAUGGGAUAUAUACUGGUGUUUGUAUCCACUAAAAGGAGGGGGCCAAAUUGGUUGCUGUGGCAGAUUAUCUUCAAGUACUGGCUAAUUUGGAAGGGGGAAGACUAGGUGAGUGUCAAGACGAAAAGAGAGCAGGAAUUCAUAGCAGUCAAGCCAACAUAGGUUUUCAUACUGCACCAUCACUAUGGUAUCUGGGCACCAUGGAAUGGAGAAAAAGAGACAAAAUGAGGAUUAAUGUCUCCCCCCUUCCUUCUAACUCCUGGAGGUGCAUCUGAGAAGUGGGUUUUUUUACCCACGAAAACUUA
Molecule: long non-coding RNA, 482 nt
Organism: Mauremys reevesii (Reeves's turtle)
Lineage: Eukaryota; Metazoa; Chordata; Testudines; Geoemydidae
Exons: 3
Source: RefSeq, a predicted model, not a curated record